RNAcentral lists this long non-coding RNA (12191 nucleotides) under Homo sapiens (human). RNAcentral describes it as "long non-coding RNA NONHSAT183880.1". The record is from RNAcentral. Lineage: Eukaryota; Metazoa; Chordata; Mammalia; Primates; Hominidae.
CUGAUCUGUCCACCUGGAACCAGCUGGGGCUAUAGCCACACCGGGCUGUGCUCCAGCUUCUGAGGCCUCUGCUGGGGAGUCCCCGAGAGCCCUCUGAGCUCUGCCUUUCGCACGGUCUCUCUAGCAGGUGGAGAGGGGAUGCUGGUGGCUGAGAACCACUGCGGGGCGGGGUGGACAGUGUGAGCCUGGGCUCUCAACACCAGCCAUGCAUUUCGGCAUCCCUAAUUCUUUGUUUUGCCUUUAAUCUUUAUUAAAUUACUGUCGAAACUAACUCACUCUUCAUAAUUUUCACAAAGUAGUCUAGGUGAAAUAAAACAGACUUUGGAGCCAGAAGAAUCGAAAUAAAAUUCUCAUUUCCCAAUUACUUGCUGUGCUACCUGGUACAAAUGACUUGGCCUGUCUGAGCCUGUCUGCAUUUUUAAAAGGAAGUAACGACACCUGCCUCAUGAUACAGCUGAAAGGACUAAGUUAGAUGAAAUGUCUCUGGUCCUGAGCAGGGCACCAGUGGUGCCCACGGUGCCGGUUACUGGGGUGAGUGUCACUUGUGUUGAACUGAGCAGGGGGCCAAGCGCCAGUCCUGGGCUGUAUCUGUAUCUCCACGGAAGAUCAAAACGUGGGGGCCGAGGAGUCCUCUAUGGAUUGUUUCUUCUGAACAGAAACAGUGUGUGAAGUCAAGCGGGGGAGCCCUCCCUUUCCAGAAGCGAGUCAUUGAAGAAAUGCCCCUGUGCGGACUCCCCACACGUUAGCACUGGCGGCCAGGCCGGCCUCCCAUGGAGAGCCCCUCUUCAGAGCCACCUUGCCCCCAUUUCCCCCUCAACUGCUCAGCUCACUGGGGAGGAAGGCAGCGAAGUUGUAAAAACUUACUUUUUGGAAAAAUAAGAAUUAUGGGGAAGGACAUUAAUUUAAAAGCUUUUAAGGAGCCAAUUCACCUGUGAAAGUGCUCCCCAGGUGAGGGCCUUCCUGUGUGGAGAACAGCCCGGUCUUUAAAAGCAUUUUAAUUAAUGUUGCUGAGAAACACGCUGAUGGUAUUUAAGUCUGAAGAGCAAAGGUACCAGCCAAGAGUUUUAUGACGUGGUGCUAGUUCUCUUAAAGGCUGUUGAAAUAAUGUUCCCGUGCACUCAGCCUCCCCACUUAGUGCGGGUGGCGGCCAAGAGGAAGUGCUGGAAUCCUCGGUGGCCUAACCCCGGCCCUCAGGACAGAACAGAAGGCAGGCGGCCCCGGCCAGGACAUGCCCAGUGGAAUUUCAGAGGCACUUUCGGGAACACAGCGCCUUCGCACCUUCUGCUCGGUACACACCUCGAGGGGUGGCAGCCAGCUCUUGGCGGCCCACCCAGCACCCUGAAGCCUGAACUGCCUGGACUGUCGCUGAGCAAAUGCCAGGGCCCGAAGAGGACCUGGAAGAGGGCGGGUGAGGGGCUGCAGGCGUGUGGGGCCUGGAUGAUCCCAUCUUGACGACGAGCUGGGAACCGCAGACCGGUGUCAUCCUGGCUGGAGAUGGAGGUCUCUACAUGGCUCCCUGUGUGGCCAGACCACUGUGGCUGGACCAGAGUUUCCCGAUAGCCUCUGGGAAUGGCAGGGACAGUGGGGGAGGAGGUCCCAGGGGAUUUUAUUAACAGAAGGGGGGAGAGAGGGUAGAGAAAGGUAAUGGGAACAAGUAGCUGAAAAUAUGCCCUGGAGAGCAGGGGAGGAGGCUGAGCAGGCAACUUCAAAAGGGAUGGAAGAAAAUGGGGGCUGCGGAGAGUUGAAGAGUGACCCCAAAAGAUAUGUCCAUCCAGAACCUCAGAAUGUGACCUUGUUUGGAAUAAGGGCUUUUGAGGAUAUAAUUCAGCAGCCCGGGGGCACAGGCACGCAGAAGAGACUUUCCCACAGCGGUUCCCAGAGCCCUGGAUGAGGCGUCCUCCAAAGGAUUAUGUCACCAAGUUUCUGCAGUUCUUUGCAGAUUCAGAAUCUAGAUGACUACUAACGAGCGUGAAGCGCCUGGUGGUUUUGGAAGUAAGCCUUCCCAGACUUCAGAACCCACGUGAGUCCCCCGACUACAAAGAGCAUAUUUUAGCUGCUGAGUGAGGGAGCAGCCAGUGGAAUCCCAUGGCCGUGUGUUAGUCUGGGCUUCCCUGAAAACAGGGAAGGGAGACUUGGAUGCAAGUGGUUUAGUUGGGAGGAGACGCCAGGUGAGGCUUGUGACCUGGGAGAGAGAGCAGGGAGGAGAGCUGAGUGGGAGGUCAGUGAGCAGAGUCCUGGUGUGGUCAUUGGGACUCAGCCCCAGGAUCCUCUGAGGAACUGUUGUUCCCCCAAGGGACUCUAAAGCAGGCUGCAUGCUUCAUUGGCUCUGGCGUUAAGUCCCUGGUACUUCUGGGCUGCCCUACGGAGGGCUAAGCAGUUCCUUUGGCCAGAGAAAGCCCCCAGGCAGGGAGCAGAGAAUGCAAUACGUAGCAUUCCAACUGGUUCCUGGAUGCAAACUCGAUCCCCCAUUGCAUCAAGCUGGUGUGCCACAGAGCACCUGCCACGUGUCGGGCAGGGUCCCAGGGACCAGGAAUGUCAGGGAGCAGGAGACCGAGCAAGCAUGUUUCUUGGCGCUUCCAUCCAGAAUAUAGUAAAUAUGAAAAUCUCAUAGUAUACAACAUGGUAAUGAGAGCUACAGAAAAAAGGAAGAGCGAGGGUGGGUGAGGCAGGGGUACUGUGGGGGAGGGGGGACCAAGGGGACACUGAGAAGUGGACAUUUGAGCCAAGACUUGAAGGUUCCAUUUGAGGGCCAUUUGGGCAGUGGCUGUUGGCCACGAGAACCAUCACCAAUGUGGCAUCUCCUGGGCUGUGCAGGGUCACCUGGUGCCAUCGCAGGACCUGCUGGUCACAUCAGAGCUUCCUGCUGCAAGUGGGGCCGGGAGCCUGGGCCUCUGAUGCCCACAUGGACCCAUCCAGGACUUGGCCCACCCACUGAGCAAACCCAGGCAUCUCUUCCUGGUUUCAACGAGUCAUGCACCCACCUCGAAGACUCCUCCCUCUUUUGUCCUCUCGCGGAGCCCAGUCACAAGAGAGUUCAAAGAAAUCGGCAGGUCAGUCAGUGGGUGGGCAGGUAGAGACUCUCAAGAUUAAUCAGAGAAAUCGCCCACUGAAUGGGUGCUCUUAGGUCUGUGCCAAGGGCUUCUGUAACAAACUGCCCUGACCUGGGGUCUUAAACAACAGAAAUGCAUUUCCUCACAGUCCUGGAGACCAGCCAGUCCAAAGCCAAGGUGUCCACAGGGCCACGCUCUUCCCACAGCCUCUAGGAGAGAACUGGUUCCUUGCUUCUCAUCCAGUUUCUGGAGAUGCUGCCACCCUUGUGGUCCUAGGCUUGGCGACAUGUCCACCCUCGUGGUCCUAGGCUUGGUGACGUGUCCACCCUCAUGGUCCUAGGCUUAGGUAUGUGUUGCUCCACCCUGCGCCUCUGUCUUCACGUCACCUUCCCUUCUCUGCAUCUGUCUCCUUCUCUUUAUGAAGCCUCCUGUCAUUGGAUUUAGAGCCCACCCUAAUCCAGGAAGAUCUCAUCUCAAGAUUCUUAAUUGCAUCUGCAAAGACCCUUUUUCCGAACAAGAUCCCGUUCACAGGCUCUGGGCGGGCAUAUCUUUUAGAGGCCACCAUUCAACCCACUACAGCCUGCAUGGGAGACUGAGAAAUGACAGGCUUUUGGGGACAAUUUACACUUUUAAGCCACAUAUUAUAGUACCAGCUUUCCUGCCGCAGGUGGGGCUGGGAGUCUGGGUCUCUCAUGCCCACAUGGGGCCCAGCCAGAACUUGGCCUACUGAACAAACUACAAAAAUCUCUCUUCUUGUUUCAAUGGAUAAUGCACCUCCCUUGAAGAUCCAUCCUUUAUUUGUCCUUCAGUGGCACCCCAUGGCAAUUGUUCUGAAGUAUUUACUGACAAAAUAUCCCUGCCUGUUGGUUCAUCUUCCAGCUUGUCUCCAUAAGUGACAAUGAUUUGGGUGAGCCAGGGUGGAUUUCUGCAGGCUCCUGGACUCAAGCCUUCCUGAACUCAUCCCCUCACUCUCUCUCCCAAUCUCAGCCUGUGCAUUUAGGUCCUGCCCUGGAAUAUGGUAAGAUGGAAGACUUUCAUAAUUUCCGAUGCACUGCACUGAAUCUGGGAUUUGUAGCCUAUACUAGCAUCCUUUCUUUAAUUUAAACGAUUAGCGUUUCAAAUGUAACCAGGAACUGGGCACCACGAGAUAACCCCUGACUAUGACUACUCAGCCCCUUGGAGUUUCCCUUAAGGGGGGAAUGGGGUGUAGCAGCAGAGCCCUGGGAUUGGAGGCCUCUCCUGGUCAAGUGUAGUGAGGGUCAGAGGUCAUGUGCCAGGUGUGCACUAUGGAGGGACAGAGGCAUCAAGAGGCAUUCAUGUCCCCAUCCUUUGGUCGUGGGGGCGGGGGGUGGGUGGUGUCCUGCCCCAGGGUCCUUUUGUGUAGGGACAAGGCAUGUAGCUGUCACACAACGGUAACAGAAGAGUGGAUGACUGGCCAGGCUACCCCCAGGCAGCCACUGUCUGAAGUUUUCUAUCCUAGAGCUUUGAAAACCCAAAUUCCUCAUGCCAAGCUCAGCUUCAGUGAUUUAGGAGGCAGAAGGCAGACUGUACCCCAGUCUGCAUAUGUGCUGUUUAGGGCUCAUUUAGGACCCCCAGGAAGUGCUUCUUCAGUGAGAGGAUUCUAAAUAGCUCUUACGUUGGUAAAACUUUUACAGUAAAUACUGUCAUUAGCAUCCUAAGAAUAGUCUACUGUCUGGAGUAAAAGUCCCCAAACCAACAGCCCACAUGCCAGUACUGACUUUUGGCCAGGGGCCAUGUAGGUUUUAGUUCUGCAGACCCUUCUCAGGGCCACCACAGGGAGGGCAGGCUGGCUUCCCACACCUGGCAGCUUCACCUGGAGGAUAGGGUGCCAAGUCCCCACCCAUAGGCCUAUGCUGUCCAGCAGGGACGCCUCUUCCUAACCCGUUCACAGGCCGUUUUGCCUGGCAGUGGGCGCUGCCAAGCUCUACCUCUAUACUCCCCCCUUACUGGAAGCACAGGGCAAUCGGGGAAGCCCUCUAAGAUCCAGCAGGUGACCCUGGGCCCUGUUUUGGGGUCUGGGCUGGGCUGGACUACAGGGUCACCAAGGAAACCAGGAGCAGCCCUUGCCUCAGCUCAGCUUUGUCCUGAAGAAGGGCCUGCCCUAGCACCUGGGGGAGGUGGCAGCUGCAUCAUCCCAGAGGGGAGGGCAGGAGUGGGUGACCCUGAGCUCCCUGGGGGGCUGGGAGAGGACUGGAAUAAGCAGUUCUGGAUGGAGACCCGCCAGGCCCGCUCACUGUGUCAGCUGAAUUUGCAGGUAGAUGGACACCUCUGUGUGGCCAGAGGCCCUGACCGCUGAGCCUGGCCCAGGUCCUCACAGAUGCUCCGUUUGAGCACGGGGGUAUAGAGCGGGGAGGCUUGUUUUGCAGACUGGACCAGGCAAGGAGGCAAAGGUUGGCUUCUGCAGGUCUCAGUGGCUGGCUCAGACCCCGAGGAAUCUGCUGGUUUGUCACUGGGCCCUGCACUACACUACCCAACCCCCGGGGUGUCAGAGGCAGGCUGGGGGUCUGUGUGCUGAUCCACUUCUAGUGGUCUACACCAGUGUUCCAACUGCUUCUUCUUCUCCUGCUUGUGAGAUGGGCAGUUGAUAUCGUGAGGUCAAGAAGCAGGACCGCUAGCCCCAGUGGCGGCAUUGGUGAUGGCAGGGGCAGGGAUUUUUAACUUCUGUGCACCUGGGUUUUCUCAUCUGUAAAAAAUAGAGAUGACAAUUUCUGCUUUACCCACUGUAUCUAUGUCAAACAUGCAAUAAAACUGUGUGUUAAUGUGUUAUAGAAAUGAGGAGGUGCUAUGAAAGCGCACUCUAGUUAGAGACCAAGCCUGGAUGGAACUCAGGCUUUUCAACGGUGAAAUGGGAAAAGUCUUUUUGUUAUUUAAUUCUUUGAUGAUGGAAUAGGAUAAUUUGUGUGAUGGCAGCUAAUAUAUUGAAGGUGCUUCUGCAAUAUCAAUAUAAUAAUAAUUUUAAAAAGUGUUGCAUCUCCAAGAUAAUGUUUUGGCUUGUAAAAUUUUGACUAUUAUAUACGUAUAAGAAAAAACACAAAAUAGAGAUUUAAGCAAAAAUGAAAUAUUGUAUUAUUCACAGAUAAUCUAUAAUGUUUUGUUGUAGAUCUUUUCAGAUUUUUUCAUAUAUGUGACUAUAAUUAUUUUUUACAAAAAUUGGAUCAACACAUAUUUUCAUAUCAUUUUUAUUUUUUUGCUUUUAUUUUUAUUUUCUUUGAGACGGAGUUUUGCUCUUGUUGCCCAGGCUGGAGUGCAAUGGUGCGCCAGGCUGGAGUGCAAUGGUGCGAUCUUGGCUCACCGCAACCUCCCUCUCCCGGGUACCAGCGAUUCUCCUGCCUCAGCCUCCCGAGUAGCUGGGAUUAUGGGCAUGCGCCACUAUCCUGGCUAAUUUUUGUAUUUUUAGUAGAGACGGGGUUUCUUCAUGUUGGUCAGGCUGGUCUUGAACUCCUGACCUCAGGCGAUCCACCCGCCUCAGCCUCCCAAAGUGCUGGGAUUACAGGCGUGAGCCACUGCGCCUGGCCUCAUAUCAUUUUUAAUGCUUGCCCAGAAUUCUAAUUCUUUCUUAUUGCAUAUUUAGGUUGUUAAAAAUUUUUUUUAAAUAAUAAUAUGGAUAAGAACCUGCUUGUAGCUAGGACUCUGUAAUUGAAAAUCAAUCAGGUAAAAUAAUAAACUAGAAGUAGAGCAGCCCAGACACGAUGGCGAAACCCCAUUUCUCCAAAAAAUACAAAAAGGUUAGCUGAGCGUGGUGGUGUGUGCCCGUGGUCUUAGCUGCUCGGGAGGCUGAGGUGGGAGGAUUGCUGGAGUUCAGGAGGUUAAGGUUGAAGUGAGCUGAUAUGGUGCCACUACACUCCCGCCUGGGCAACAAAGCCAGACCUUGUCUCAAAAAAAAAAAAAAGAAGUAGAAACGUUAGGUCAAAUGAUGUGCAUUUUUUCCGGUUGUGAUAAAAUACACAUAACAAAAAUUUACCAUCUUAACCAUUUUCAAGUGCACAGGUCAGUGGCAUUAACUAUGAAUACAGUCACAUUGUUGCACUACCCUUAUCGCACUCCACCAUUCCUCCACAGAGGAGAGCUGGCUUGCUUCUAGAAUGCUCAUCAAAUGCCUGGCACUUUGCCAGGGUUUCACAUCUCUUUGCAUUUUGGACAGCAGAGAUUCUGUCCCCAUUAAACACUAACUUCCCAUUCCCUCUCCCCCACAGCCUCUGGCAACCACCAUCCUAAUUUUUGUCUCUAUAGAUUUGACUCUUCUAGAUAUCUCAUAUAAGUGGAAUCAUAUAGUAUUUAUUUUUCUGUGACUUACUUCACUUGGCAUAAUUUCUUCAAGUUUAAUCAUGUUGUAGCAUGGGUCAGAAUUCUUCUCCUUUUUAAGGCUGCAUACUAUUCCACUUGGGUGGCGUCUACCUUUUGGCUGUUGUGAAUAGUGCUACUAUGACCAUGGAUGUACAAAUAUCUCCUCGAGACCCUGCUUUCUAUUGUUUUCGUACAUAUCCAGAAGUGAAAUUGCUGCAUCAUCUGGUAACUGUACGUUUAAUUUUUUGAGGGACUGCCAUACUGUUUUCCACAGCAGCAGGACCAUUUCGCAUUCCCACCAACAGUGCACGAGGGCUCCAGUUUCUCCCCAUCAUUGCCACCACUUGUUAUUUUCUGUUGGGUUUUUUUUUUUUUUUUUGAUAGUAGUCAUCUUAAUGACUGUGAAGUGGGAUGUACAUAUUUUUAAGGCUUUGAAAUCAAUUGCUGAACUGUACAGUAGAAAGGUAAUACUUGGCACUUUUACCAACAAUGGAUAGAGCACUAUUUCCACCGUCCCUAUGAACGCAGAGUACCCCUGCCAGUUUUUUGAUGAGUAUUUGAAAGAGGAAGCGUGCACGUGGUGUGGUAAACCCAGAGGACUGUGCCUACCUGCCCAAGAGGAAGACCUGGGUUUUCUCUGGCUGAGACCACCAGCUGACUGGCCCUCUCAAGUUUUAAAAUCCUGCGUUUAGAUCAACUCUGAAGCUCAGCUUCACGCAUUACCUGAUGUGGCCGAUAUAAAAAGAGAAGAAUAUCAGAUAUAAAGAAACCGUAUAUUUACAUACAAUUAGAAGCAAAUAUUUAAUGCAAGCAAAUGUUUUAUAGGAGGUGAGAGAAACUCCUGUAAGGACCAGAAAAAUAAGCUGAGCACUCCCAGGAAACAAACCUGUGUCUCAAAAUUUGGUGUUAGCCUUUGAUGGGAAAGAAAAUGAAUCAGUUUCUGCUUUUCCUUUGUUUCAUUUCUAUUUUUUUUUUUUUUUUUUUUGAGAUGGAGUCUCACUCUGUCACCCAGGCUGGAGUGCAGUGGUGUGAUCUUGGCUCACUGCAAUUUCUGCUUCCCAGGUUCAAGUGAUUCUCCAACCUCAGCCUCCUGAGUAGCUGGGAUUACAGGCAUGCACCACCAUGCCUAGCUAAUUUUUGUAUUUUUAAUAAAGAUGAGGUUUCGCCGUGUUGGCCAGGCUGGUCUCAAACUCCUGACCUCAGGUAAUCCAUCCGCCUCAUCCUCCCAGUGCUGGGAUUACAGGCGUGAGCCACCACGCCCGGCCCUUUGUUUCAUUUUCGAAUUUGAAUUAUGAUUGUAGGGCUCUGAUUCCCCAAACCUUCACAACUUAAAACCAAGUGCCCAUCUCACGUACCCCUCCUCCCCCAGCAGCCGGGGCCUCCCUCCCUCCUGGCCACACUCUGUGGCACGACCCUCUGAGCGUGGUCUUCCCUGUUAGUGGGGCAAGCCCUGGAGGCAGGGUCUGUGUCUUGCUCUCCAGGAAUGGCCUGAAUCUCCUCAAGUCCUAGCCCAAAACGUGAUUCACAAUCUUGGCUUAAGGUAAUCCUAAUGCUUCUAGAAUGUUCUUCAAAUGCCUGGCACUUUCCCACCUAAAUUAUCCCAUUCCAUCCUUUCAGCCAGCUUAUCAGGUGAGCACUACUAUUCCUCCUAUUUUAUAGAUGAGGACGCUGAAGCGCAGAGAGGAUAAGAAACUUGCUCAGUGACACACAGCUGGUGAGGGGGAUCUGGGUUUGAAUUCACACCUUCGGGCUCUAGUGUCAGUGUUCUGAACGUACACCCAGCAGUGCCUCUGACAUGAUGAACGGAUGAGACGUUCAGUGAGGAGGGAGAGCAGGCACCAAAAGCCUGUAUCGGCUAUAACCAAGUAAGAGCAGCCUUGCUAAGUAGCAGUCGGUCUAGAAAUCAGUUCUAUUCGAAGACUCCUAAUUGGGCUUUUCUGGGUGAUGAUAACCUUCUUGGUAAAACUGAACCCCAAGUUCUUUGGCCUGGUUGCCAUUCCCUGGCUAGCACCACGUAUUUACGCCUUUGUGCCUUUUCACAUGCCUCGGCUUCUCCUUGGAAAUCCUGUUCAUAUCACCCUUUUCUUCUGCAACUGAAACUUGCUAUUUGUCAUUCUGGGCUUAGCUCUGAUUUCACCAGUUCUGUGGCUCCAUUCUUAGCCAUCGCAUCCCUUCUCCUCUCCUUGGUCUCUCAGUCACGUCUCCUACCUCAGUUGAAAUUCUUCCCACUAGUCUUGAGCGUAAAUUAGUUCAACCAUUGUGAAAGACAGUGGGGCAAUUCCUCAAGGAUCUAGAACCAGAAAUACCAUUUGACCCAGCCAUCCCAUUACUGGGUAUAUACCCAAAGGAUUUCCGAUAAAUCAUUCUACUAUAAAGACACAUGCACACCUAUGUUUAUUGCAGCACUAUUUACAAUAGCAAAGACUUGGAACCAACCCAAGUGCCCAUCAGUGAUAGACUGGAUAAAGUCUACCCCUCUUCCAGAAAGUUUGUGAAUAACCCACCCCUUAUUUAGCAUAUAAUUAAGAGUGGGUAUAAAUAGAGCCAGCCAGCAACCCACAAGUGCUACUCUGGGCCCCUCUGCCUGUGGGAUAGCCCUGCUCUGCCAAUGAAGCAGCCAUCUUGCUGUUCACUACGCUAUAUAAACUUGCUUUCUUUCACUGUUGGCUUGCUCUUGAAUUCUUCCCUGAAUGAAGCCAAGAACCAACUCAGGCUGAGCCCCCGUUUUUGGGUUUGCCUGCAUCACCUGCAGUGGAGAUGGUUGGUUGUUUACCAAAAUCAUUUCUCCCUUCUCUCUGGACAUACUGCUGGACUACAUUUCCCAUCCAACAUGACAGGUGGGCACGGCCUGACGACUGGAUUGUCCAACAAAACACAGAAAGUGUAGACAAGAGAACAGCAGAAAGUGACGCCUGCAGCCACAGAGAUGUGCUCCCAGUCUCCCUCUUUUCUGACUGCUGGGGGUGCACACCACAGCGAGGCCCAAGGGCUGUGAUGGAGGCCUAGGAUGGAAGGUGGCUGGUCCCUGAAUUACUUCUAGGAGAGGCACCAUCUGCUGAGCAGGAACCCCUGCCUGGGACAGUUGCAAGAACAAGAAAUCAGCUCCUUUUGUGCCAGAACCAGUAUGCAUGUUGAGGUCCAAUCCUACAGUUAGUGAUGUGGUAACAGAAAUGAGCUUUGUGCUUCCAUGCCCUGGGCAACUGCAGGCAGCUGAGGCCCCCAUCUGCAGGUGGUCUCUGCAGGCAGAGGGUUUCUGGUGAAGGGCCCUAUGGGGUUUCUGAUGAGGGCCCCACAGAAACCAGAAUCUCUUCCCUGCUGCUUAUUUCAAAUUCUGCUCGGUUGUCCCUUCCAGGCCAGGCGGGUAAUCUUGCUUGUGGCCACACUCCUCUUCCUGGGACCUGAGCCUGCCCUCCUGCUCCUGAGUAGUUCAUUGUGAUGCUGUCUGCUGUGGCUGUGGAGUGCUACGCGCUGGCCAGCCUGAGGGCGACCUGUACCGCCUUGGCCAAACCCUUUACCCCACUGAGAGAUACCUCCCUCAUCUGCAGCGAGAGUCCCUACCUUGUAGGGCAGUGUGAAGGAUGUCCUGAGAUGGUCAGGACUUAGCACCCUGUAAGCACAAGAGCUGUUCUUGGUGGCGUUAUGAUCACACCCACAGAUAGGGCCUCAGGCAGGCCUCAGUGUCCUCCUGGCUGGCCACGUGCUACGGAUGUCCCCAUGCACUUGAUGUGUCAGCAGCAGAAGGACCUUCAGGAGGAGGCAACGAUGGGAUGAGACGAGGCUCAAAGGAGGAUGUUGCCGCGCAGAGACGUUUCGGGAAUAUGAGGCAGGUCACCACCUAUGAUUCUUGUGGUAGUGGAGGAAUGGUGGCGGCUGUCAUUGUGACACCCACUUUAGAGACAGGAAACUGAGCUUCAGAGAGGGGGAGUCCAGGCCCCACAGCACACAGCCAGGAAAGGGCCGGGCAGAAGGGGCUUUGGGUUUUAACCUAACUCACCCCGACUGCCUGCUUCUUCACCCAGCCAUCAUGGAACGUCUCUGUGCCUCUUCCCUGCUCUCGUGGAGGCCUGGGUCAGGCAGCUGCCCAGAGGCAGACGUGCACUGUGACCCUAGAAGACUGUUCCAGACAGGCCAGCCCAGGCAGAGACAAAACAGGGACCUGCUCCUCAUUGGUGUCACGACCAAAUGCAGGGGAUUUGCUAAGGGAGGCGCAGCCAUGAAUUGGGAGCCAGCUUCGUGCUCUGCCACUCCUUCUUGCUAAUCCCUCGAAAAUCCAAUCAGAGCUGUUUCCCUCCAUGAAACCAACUGGACACAGCACAUACUGGCCGGACCUCUGCCAGCAUGGAGUGGAUCUUUUUUCUGUUUAAAGAACCAGGUUUCAAAUGUUCUUAAUAAAACGUUUAUAUAUAUCAUGCAGGGUGCAAAUAAAUAUUUUAAUAUAAUUGGAAGAAUGUAGAGAAUUGUAAAAAGUUAUGGAAGUUUUACUUCUGAUUGGCCAAGACUCAAUAAACUCUGGUUUGAUGUACUCUAAUUUAUAGGCGUGCAAAGCCAACUCUUUGGCAUCAGAGAGGCCGUUAACGUUGUAAUGAUGUUUAAACGCUGACAAAUGAGCUGCUUGGGCGGCACCUUCAGCCCUGAGAAUGGAACUGUUGGAGCUGGAGGACUUGCCUGUCCCCAGCUUUCUCCCUUCCUCCCGUGCUGGUGGAGCAGGUUAAGGGCAGGAGGACUGUUCAUUGGGGCGACUGCUCCCCAUCGGUUGAGGGGAGGGCACAAAGGGGACCCAUGGCUUCUUUUUCACUGUUGUCCCUAAUUAUGGUCUUUCUCAUUAAAAUAACAAGG